GUCUAUGGCCAUGCCACUCUGAACAAGCCUGAUAGCUGAUCUUGGAAGCUAAGCUGGGUCGGGCCUAGUUAGUACUUGGAUGGGAGACCACCUAGGAAGACCAGGUGCUGUAGGCA
This 116-nucleotide ribosomal RNA is filed under the name Pteropus alecto (black flying fox). Lineage: Eukaryota; Metazoa; Chordata; Mammalia; Chiroptera; Pteropodidae. The record is from RNAcentral.